CCUACGGGAGGCAGCAGUGGGGAAUUUUGGACAAUGGGCGAAAGCCUGAUCCAGCAAUGCCGCGUGAGUGAAGAAGGCCUUCGGGUUGUAAAGCUCUUUUGUCAGGGAAGAAACGGUGAGAGCUAAUAUCUCUUGCUAAUGACGGUACCUGAAGAAUAAGCACCGGCUAACUACGUGCCAGCAGCCGCGGUAAUACGUAGGGUGCAAGCGUUAAUCGGAAUUACUGGGCGUAAAGCGUGCGCAGGCGGUUUUGUAAGUCUGAUGUGAAAUCCCCGGGCUCAACCUGGGAAUUGCAUUGGAGACUGCAAGGCUAGAAUCUGGCAGAGGGGGGUAGAAUUCCACGUGUAGCAGUGAAAUGCGUAGAUAUGUGGAGGAACACCGAUGGCGAAGGCAGCCCCCUGGGUCAAGAUUGACGCUCAUGCACGAAAGCGUGGGGAGCAAACAGGAUUAGAUACCCUGGUAGUCCACGCCCUAAACGAUGUCUACUAGUUGUCGGGUCUUAAUUGACUUGGUAACGCGAGCGUACGCGUGAGUAGACCGCCGUGGGUAGGUUACGGUUCGUCGAGAAGUUAAACGUUAACGAAGGAAGUUAGACGGCGUUGAGACGUUGCCGACGGACGACCGACCGAGGGGAGGUUAGGGAGG
Molecule: ribosomal RNA, 645 nt
Filed under: uncultured bacterium
Lineage: Bacteria
Description: bacterial SSU rRNA
Rfam family: Bacterial small subunit ribosomal RNA (bases 1-542)
Source: RNAcentral